Molecule: ribosomal RNA, 543 nt
Filed under: uncultured Glomeraceae
Lineage: Eukaryota; Fungi; Glomeromycota; Glomeromycetes; Glomerales; Glomeraceae
Description: SSU rRNA
Rfam family: Eukaryotic small subunit ribosomal RNA
Source: RNAcentral
UUGGAGGGCAAGUCUGGUGCCAGCAGCCGCGGUAAUUCCAGCUCCAAUAGCGUAUAUUAAAGUUGUUGCAGUUAAAAAGCUCGUAGUUGAAUUUCGGGGUCAGUAGGUCGGUCGUGCCACUGGUAUGAACUGGUUUUACUGAUUCCUCCCUCUUGAAGAACUGUAAUGCCAUUAAUUUGGUGUUGCAGGGAAUCAGGACUGUUACUUUGAAAAAAUUAGAGUGUUUAAAGCAGGCUUUAGCUUGAAUACAUUAGCAUGGAAUAAUGAAAUAGGACGUUUGAUCCUAUUUUGUUGGUUUCUAGGAUUGACGUAAUGAUUAAUAGGGAUAGUUGGGGGCAUUAGUAUUCAAUUGUCAGAGGUGAAAUUCUUGGAUUUAUUGAAGACUAACUACUGCGAAAGCAUUUGCCAAGGAUGUUUUCAUUAAUCAAGAACGAAAGUUAGGGGAUCGAAGACGAUCAGAUACCGUCGUAGUCUUAACCAUAAACUAUGCCGACUAGGGAUCGGAUGAUGUUAAUUUUUAAUGUACUCAUUCGGCGCCGUUAC